CAGAAUUCAGUGAAUCAUCGAAUCUUUGAACGCACCUUGCGCUCCUUGGUAUUCCGAGGAGCAUGCCUGUCUGAGUGUCAUGAAUAUCUCAACCCUCAAAGUAUUCGUACUAUGAGCGGCUUGGACUUGGAGGCUUGCCGGCGUUCGUCGGCUCCUCUCAAAUGAAUUAGCUAUGGAUCGCGAUGUGGUAUGAUCUAAAGUGUGAUACAUGUCUACGCUGAAGAUCGAUCACGCAAGCCACCGUCCUUCGGGAUAGCGCCUUCACGGGCCGUGUGGUUAGCGAAUACAGAGCUCCUAAUCGUCCGCCCCUGUGGACAACAAACCCCUGACAUCUGACCUCAAAUCAGGUAGGACUACCCGCUGAACUUAAGCAUAUCAAUAAGCGGAGGAAAAGAAACUAACAAGGAUUCCCCUAGUAACUGCGAGUGAAGCGGGAAAAGCUCAAAUUUAAAAUCUGUCGUCCUUCGGGCGUCCGAGUUGUAUUCUGGAGAAGCGUCUUCCGUGC
Molecule: ribosomal RNA, 505 nt
Filed under: uncultured fungus
Lineage: Eukaryota; Fungi
Description: eukaryotic LSU rRNA
Rfam family: Eukaryotic large subunit ribosomal RNA (bases 334-505)
Source: RNAcentral